UUGGAAGCAACGCGAAGAACCUUACCAGGUCUUGACAUCUUCUGACAACCCUAGAGAUAGGGCUUUCCCUUCGGGGACAGAGUGACAGGUGGUGCAUGGUUGUCGUCAGCUCGUGUCGUGAGAUGUUGGGUUAAGUCCCGCAACGAGCGCAACCCUUGAUUUUAGUUGCCAGCAUUCAGUUGGGCACUUUAAGGUGACUGCCGGUGACAAACCGGAGGAAGGUGGGGAGGACGUCAAAUCAUCAUGCCCCUUAUGACCUGGGCUACACACGUGCUACAAUGGACAGAACAAAGGGCUGCAAGACCGCAAGGUUUAGCCAAUCCCAUAAAUCUGUUCUCAGUUCGGAUCGCAGUCUGCAACUCGACUGCGUGAAGCUGGAAUCGCUAGUAAUCGCGGAUCAGCAUGCCGCGGUGAAUACGUUCCCGGGCCUUGUACACACCGCCCGUCACACCACGAGAGUUUGCAACACCCGAAGUCG
RNAcentral lists this ribosomal RNA (478 nucleotides) under Bacillus sp. MAL 15. RNAcentral's name for it is "bacterial SSU rRNA". It matches the Rfam family "Bacterial small subunit ribosomal RNA", at positions 950 to 1429 of the family's 1533-position model. The record is from RNAcentral. Lineage: Bacteria; Bacillati; Bacillota; Bacilli; Caryophanales; Bacillaceae.